GUGUCCACUUUGGCAGCACAUGUACUAAAACUGGAACAAAACAGAAAUUAACAUGGUCCCAGCACAAAGACGGCAUGAAAAUGUGUGAAGCAUUCCAUAUUAGA
Small nuclear RNA from Ochotona curzoniae (black-lipped pika), 104 nucleotides. NCBI's taxonomy places the organism in Eukaryota, Metazoa, Chordata, Mammalia, Lagomorpha, Ochotonidae. The record is from RefSeq and is a predicted model, not a curated record.